RNAcentral lists this ribosomal RNA (468 nucleotides) under uncultured bacterium. Its description in RNAcentral is "partial 16S ribosomal RNA". It matches the Rfam family "Bacterial small subunit ribosomal RNA", at positions 28 to 507 of the family's 1533-position model. The record is from RNAcentral.
GACGAACGCUGGCGGCGUGCUUAACACAUGCAAGUCGAACGGAAAGGCCCUGCUUUUGUGGGGUGCUCGAGUGGCGAACGGGUGAGUAACACGUGAGUAACCUGCCCUUGACUUUGGGAUAACUUCAGGAAACUGGGGCUAAUACCGGAUAGGAGCUCCUGCUGCAUGGUGGGGGUUGGAAAGUUUCGGCGGUUGGGGAUGGACUCGCGGCUUAUCAGCUUGUUGGUGGGGUAGUGGCUUACCAAGGCUUUGACGGGUAGCCGGCCUGAGAGGGUGACCGGCCACAUUGGGACUGAGAUACGGCCCAGAAUACUACGGGAGGCAGCAGUGGGGAAUAUUGCACAAUGGGCGGAAGCCUGAUGCAGCAACGCCGCGUGCGGGAUGACGGCCUUCGGGUUGUAAACCGCUUUCGCCUGUGACGAAGCGUGAGUGACGGUAAUGGGUAAAGAAGCACCGGCUAACUACGUG